CAUGGCCAAGAGCGACUGGGACACGGUGACAGUGCUGCGCAAGAAGGGCCCCACGGCCGCCCAGGCCAAGUCCAAGCAGGCCAUCUUAGCAGCUCAGAGACGAGGAGAGGAUGUGGAGACUUCCAAGAAAUGGGCCCCUGGCCAGAACAAACAGCAUUCAGUCACCAAGAACACGCCCAAGCUGGACCGGGAGACUGAGUCGCUGCACCAUGACCGGGUGACCCUGGAGGUGGGCAAGGUGAUCCAGCAGGGCCGGCAGAGCAAGGGGCUGACUCAGAAGGACCUGGCAACGAAAAUCAAUGAAAAGCCGCAAGUCAUUGCAGACUACGAGAGUGAACGGGCCAUUCCUAAUAACCAGGUUCUGGGCAAAAUCGAGAGAGCUAUCGGCCUCAAGCUCCGGGGGGAAGGAUAUCGGGAAGCCGAUGGAGAAGGGGCCAAGGGCGAAAUGA
This is an RNA transcript of Odobenus rosmarus divergens (Pacific walrus), 449 nucleotides long. It is a transcript of the gene named endothelial differentiation-related factor 1-like, with no coding region annotated. Lineage: Eukaryota; Metazoa; Chordata; Mammalia; Carnivora; Odobenidae. The record is from RefSeq and is a predicted model, not a curated record. The transcript has a single exon.